Molecule: ribosomal RNA, 459 nt
Filed under: uncultured bacterium
Lineage: Bacteria
Description: partial 16S ribosomal RNA
Rfam family: Bacterial small subunit ribosomal RNA
Source: RNAcentral
CCUACGGGAGGCAGCAGUGAGGAAUAUUGGUCAAUGGUCGGGAGACUGAACCAGCCAAGCCGCGUGAGGGAUGAAGGUACAGAGUAUCGUAAACCUCUUUUGUCAGGGAACAAAGGCGGGGACGUGUCCCCUGAUGAGUGUACCUGAAGAAAAAGCAUCGGCAAACUCCGUGCCAGCAGCCGCGGUAAUACGGGGGAUGCGAGCGUUAUCCGGAUUUAUUGGGUUUAAAGGGUGCGCAGGCGGUCUGUUAAGUCAGCGGUAAAAGCCGGGGGCUCAACCCCGUCCCGCCGUUGAAACUGGCAGUCUCGAGUGGGAGAGAGGUAUGCGGAAUGCGUGGUGUAGCGGUGAAAUGCAUAGAUAUCGCGCAGAACUCCGAUUGCGAAGGCAGCAUGCCGGCUCCACACUGACGCUGAGGCACGAAAGCGUGGGUAUCGAACAGGAUUAGAUACCCUAGUAGUC